CCUACGGGUGGCAGCAGUGGGGGAUAUUGCACAAUGGGGGAAACCCUGAUGCAGCGACGCCGCGUGAGUGAAGAAGUAUUUCGGUAUGUAAAGCUCUAUCAGCAGGGAAGAAAAUGACAGUACCUGACCAAGAAGCCCCGGCUAACUACGUGCCAGCAGCCGCGGUAAUACGUAGGGGGCAAGCGUUAUCCGGAUUUACUGGGUGUAACGGGAGCGUAGACGGUUAUGUAAGUCUGGAGUGAAAGCCCGGGGCCCAACCCCGGGACUGCUUUGGAAACUGUGUGACUGGAGUGCGGGGGGGGCAGGCGGAAUGCGUGGUGUAGCGGUGAAAUGCGUAGAUAUCAGGAGGAACCCCGGCGGCGAAGGGGGCCGGCUGGACUGAAACGGACGGGGAGGCUGGAAGGCGGGGGGAGAAAACAGGAUUAGAUACCCGGGUAGUC
Molecule: ribosomal RNA, 440 nt
Filed under: uncultured bacterium
Lineage: Bacteria
Description: partial 16S ribosomal RNA
Rfam family: Bacterial small subunit ribosomal RNA
Source: RNAcentral